GAUGAACGCUGGCGGCGUGCCUAACACAUGCAAGUCGAACGGAGAUUACGGACGGAAGUUUUCGGAUGGAAGACUGUACUUCUUAGUGGCGGACGGGUGAGUAACGCGUGGGCAACCUGCCCUAUACAGGGGGAUAGCAGCUGGAAACGGCUGGUAAGACCGCCUAAGUCGGUUAAAUCGCAUGAUUUGAUCGGGAAAUGAGCAAUCAGGUAUAGGAUGGGCCCGCGUCCGAUUAGCCAGUUGGCAGGGUAAAAGCCUACCAAAGCGACGAUCGGUAGCCGGACUGAGAGGUCGGACGGCCACAUUGGGACUGAGACACGGCCCAAACUCCUACGGGAGGCAGCAGUGGGGGAUAUUGCACAAUGGAGGAAACUCUGAUGCAGCGACGCCGCGUGAGUGAAGAAGUAUUUCGGUAUGUAAAGCUCUAUCAGCAGGGAAGAUGAUGACGGUACCUGACUAAGAAGCCCCGGCUAACUACGUG
RNAcentral lists this ribosomal RNA (481 nucleotides) under uncultured bacterium. RNAcentral describes it as "partial 16S ribosomal RNA". It matches the Rfam family "Bacterial small subunit ribosomal RNA", at positions 28 to 507 of the family's 1533-position model. The record is from RNAcentral.